This 533-nucleotide ribosomal RNA is filed under the name uncultured bacterium. RNAcentral's name for it is "bacterial SSU rRNA". It matches the Rfam family "Bacterial small subunit ribosomal RNA", at positions 392 to 917 of the family's 1533-position model. The record is from RNAcentral.
CAAUGCCGCGUGUGUGAAGAAGGCCUUCGGGUUGUAAAGCACGUUUUGGCGGGAGCGAAACGGCGUUUGCUAAUACCAGACGCUAAUGACGGUACCCGCAGAAUAAGCACCGGCUAACUACGUGCCAGCAGCCGCGGUAAGACGUAGGGUGCGAGCGUUAAUCGGAAUUACUGGGCGUAAAGCGUGCGCAGGCGGCUUUGUAAGACAGGUGUGAAAUCCCCGGGCUUAACCUGGGAACUGCACUUGUGACUGCAAGGCUAGAGUGUGUCAGAGGGAGGUGGAAUUCCGCGUGUAGCAGUGAAAUGCGUAGAUAUGCGGAGGAACACCGAUGGCGAAGGCAGCCUCCUGGGAUAACACUGACGCUCAUGCACGAAAGCGUGGGGAGCAAACAGGAUUAGAUACCCUGGUAGUCCACGCCCUAAACGAUGUCAACUAGUUGUCGGGGAUUCGUUUCCUUGGUAACGCAGCUAACGCGUGAAGUUGACCGCCUGGGGAGUACGGCCGCAAGGUUAAAACUCAAAGGAAUUGACGGG